This 221-nucleotide long non-coding RNA is filed under the name Homo sapiens (human). RNAcentral describes it as "non-protein coding lnc-LETM2-8:1". The record is from RNAcentral. Lineage: Eukaryota; Metazoa; Chordata; Mammalia; Primates; Hominidae.
GUGCUUUUAAGGUCUCAUGAUGUAAUUUUUCUUUCAAUUGUCAUACGCAGGGGCAGAGGGAAAGCUUCCCUUUUGUUCUCUCUAAAGAUUUGCUAAAGGCUGUGCGCGGUGGCUCACGCCUGAAAUCCUAGCUCCUAGCACUUUGGGAGGCUGAGGUGGGUGGAUUACCUGAGCUCAGGAGUUAGAGACCAGCCUGAGCAACACGCGGAAACCCUGUCUCU